This 82-nucleotide transfer RNA is filed under the name Klebsiella planticola. Its description in RNAcentral is "Raoultella planticola tRNA-OTHER". It matches the Rfam family "tRNA". From Rfam's summary of the family: Transfer RNA (tRNA) molecules are approximately 80 nucleotides in length. Their secondary structure includes four short double-helical elements and three loops (D, anti-codon, and T loops). Lineage: Bacteria; Pseudomonadati; Pseudomonadota; Gammaproteobacteria; Enterobacterales; Enterobacteriaceae. The record is from RNAcentral.
GCGGGAAUAGCUCAGUUGGUAGAGCACGACCUUGCCCUUGCCAAGGUCGGGGUCGCGAGUUCGAGUCUCGUUUCCCGCUCCA